Molecule: non-coding RNA, 118 nt
Organism: Chelonoidis abingdonii (Abingdon island giant tortoise)
Lineage: Eukaryota; Metazoa; Chordata; Testudines; Testudinidae
Source: RefSeq, a predicted model, not a curated record
ACCCUCUCUCUCCAACCCUAAGAAUAUAAGAACAUCCAUACUAGGUCAAACCAAUGAUCCGUCUAGGUCAGUAUCCUGUCUUAUGACAGUGGCCAAUGCCAAAUGCUUCAGAGCUAAU